GUUGGCCUAGUGGUUAGAGCAUCCGCCUCCAGUGCGAGAUGUCGCGGGUUUGAAACCCGGCUUAGUCA
Molecule: non-coding RNA, 68 nt
Organism: Potamilus streckersoni
Lineage: Eukaryota; Metazoa; Mollusca; Bivalvia; Unionida; Unionidae
Source: the annotation of a GenBank genome assembly